GCGGAUGUGGCGAAAUUGGUAGACGCACUAGACUUAGGAUCUAGCGCCGCGAGGCAUGGGGGUUCGAGUCCCUCCAUCCGCACAA
Molecule: transfer RNA, 85 nt
Filed under: Reichenbachiella agariperforans
Lineage: Bacteria; Pseudomonadati; Bacteroidota; Cytophagia; Cytophagales; Reichenbachiellaceae
Also listed under: 6 other names
Description: tRNA_Leu_TAG
Rfam family: tRNA
About the family: Transfer RNA (tRNA) molecules are approximately 80 nucleotides in length.
Source: RNAcentral